GAUCAACGCUGGCGGCGUGCCUAAUGCAUGCAAGUCGAACGGCUCUUUCGAGAGCAGUGGCAGACGGGUGCGGAACACGUGGAUGACCGACCUGCUGGUGGGGAAUACCCGUCGGAAACGACGGCUAAGACCGCAUGAGCUCAGCUCUGGGACGACGGAGUUGAGGAAAGCCUGUGGGCGCCAGCAGCCGGGUCUGCGGCCGAUUAGCUGGUUGGUGGGGUAAUGGCCUACCAAGGCGACGAUCGGUAGCUGGUCUGAGAGGACGGCCAGCCACACG
RNAcentral lists this ribosomal RNA (277 nucleotides) under uncultured bacterium. RNAcentral describes it as "partial 16S ribosomal RNA". It matches the Rfam family "Bacterial small subunit ribosomal RNA", at positions 28 to 314 of the family's 1533-position model. The record is from RNAcentral.